Molecule: long non-coding RNA, 500 nt
Organism: Toxotes jaculatrix (banded archerfish)
Lineage: Eukaryota; Metazoa; Chordata; Actinopteri; Toxotidae
Exons: 3
Source: RefSeq, a predicted model, not a curated record
CAAACUGAGCGUGGCUUAAAAAUCUGCCUAAAUACCGUGUUAAAAGCAUCUCUCUCUCUCUCUCCAUGCCGUUUGCCCCCUCUCUCUACCCUGGCUUUACCCCAACAGCACUGACGGGGCAUGUAAUCCACUUAGAAAGCAUCGUCCCACUUUUUUUCAUCAACCUUACAAGCAGGUCUGAGGUGUGGGGGGGGUGCACAGCCGGGCUCUUACUCUGAAGGUUGCCUGCCUGACCCGACACGGCUCAGCACCAUUGGUGGACAGGUAAAUCUGGGUACGAUCCAACGAGCAAAAAGCAGCUAACACAAACCCGAGGAUGGCUGCGUGGACGAGAGAAGAGGCGGAAGAUUUGAAAAACUAAACCAAGCUGUAUUAUCAGACACAAAUCUGCCUCUAACACUUUGCCCUUAUACUUGAAAUAUGUAAAACAAGAACAUGAGGCAACCCGGUGGCACAAGAGUUUCAAAGCUGUCCAUCUAGUGCACAUGUUGAUUGACAGU